This 468-nucleotide ribosomal RNA is filed under the name uncultured bacterium. RNAcentral's name for it is "partial 16S ribosomal RNA". It matches the Rfam family "Bacterial small subunit ribosomal RNA", at positions 28 to 507 of the family's 1533-position model. The record is from RNAcentral.
GACGAACGCUGGCGGCGUGCUUAACACAUGCAAGUCGAACGGAAAGGCCCUGCUUUUGUGGGGUGCUCGAGUGGCGAACGGGUGAGUAACACGUGAGUAACCUGCCCUUGACUUUGGGAUAACUUCAGGAAACUGGGGCUAAUACCGGAUAGGAGCUCCUGCUGCAUGGUGGGGGUUGGAAAGUUUCGACGGUUGGGGAUGGACUCGCGGCUUAUCAGCUUGUUGGUGGGGUAGUGGCUUACCAAGGCUUUGACGGGUAGCCGGCCUGAGAGGGUGACCGGCCACAUUGGGACUGAGAUACAGCCCAGACUCCUACGGCAGGCAGCAGUGGAAAAUAUGACACAAUGGGAGGAAGCCUGAUGCAGAAACGCCGCGUGCGGGAUGACGGCCUUCGGGUUGUAAACCGCUUUCGCCUGUGACGAAGCGUGAGUGACGGUAAUGGGUAAAGAAGCACCGGCUAACUACGUG